RNAcentral lists this transfer RNA (27 nucleotides) under Entamoeba moshkovskii. RNAcentral describes it as "tRNA-His". Lineage: Eukaryota; Evosea; Mastigamoebida; Endamoebidae. The record is from RNAcentral.
GCUCACAUAGUACAGAGGUAGUACACG